Molecule: ribosomal RNA, 585 nt
Filed under: uncultured marine eukaryote
Lineage: Eukaryota
Description: SSU rRNA
Rfam family: Eukaryotic small subunit ribosomal RNA
Source: RNAcentral
CUGGUUGAUCCUGCCAGUAGUGAUAUGCUUGUCUUAAAGAUUAAGCCAUGCAUGUAUCAGUACAAGCCUAACUAAGGUGAAACCGCGAAUGGCUCAUUAAAUCAGUUAUUAUUUACUGGCCGAGACAGUGAUACAUGGAUAACUGUGGUAAUUCUAGAGCUAAUACAUGCAACCGAGCCCCAGGUCCGACUCUCGGGUCGGCCGGGGCGCUUUUAUUGGCUGAAAACCGAUGAUCGCCCUCGUGGCGGUCGUUCUCCGAUGAAUCACAAUAACAUUGUGUGGAUCGUACGGUCUUGUACCGACGACGCGCCUUUCAAAUAUCUGCCUUAUCAGCUCUCGACGGUUUGCUAGUGGCUGACCGUGGCUCUGACGGGUAACGGGGAAUCUGGGUUCGGUUCCGGAGAGGGAGCCUGAGAGAUGGCUACCACAUCUAAGGAAGGCAGCAGGCGCGUAACUUACCCACUCCCAGUUCAGGGAGGUAGUGACAAUAAAUACCUUACAGAGGUCUCGUUAACCGAGAUCUCUCAAACGGAAUGAGUACAACGUGAAUCCUUUAACGAGGAUCGACUGGAGGGCAAGUCUGGU